GACUCCUACGGGAGGCAGCAGUGAGGAAUAUUGGUCAAUGGGCGCAAGCCUGAACCAGCCAUGCCGCGUGCAGGAAGACGGUCCUAUGGAUUGUAAACUGCUUUUAUACAGGAAGAAACCUCCCUACGUGUAGGGACUUGACGGUACUGUAGGAAUAAGGAUCGGCUAACUCCGUGCCAGCAGACGCGGUAAUA
This 194-nucleotide ribosomal RNA is filed under the name uncultured bacterium. RNAcentral's name for it is "partial 16S ribosomal RNA". It matches the Rfam family "Bacterial small subunit ribosomal RNA", at positions 334 to 525 of the family's 1533-position model. The record is from RNAcentral.